UACAGAGGUCUCAAGCGUUGUUCGGAUUCAUUGGGCGUAAAGGGUGCGUAGGCGGCGCGGUAAGUCGGGUGUGAAAUUUCGAGGCUUAACUUCGAAACUGCAUUCGAUACUGCCGUGCUAGAGGACUGGAGAGGAGACUGGAAUUUACGGUGUAGCGGUGAAAUGCGUAGAUAUCGUAAGGAAGACCAGUGGCGAAGGCGGGUCUCUGGACAGUUCCUGACGCUGAGGCGCGAAAGCUAGGGGAGCGAACAGG
This 253-nucleotide ribosomal RNA is filed under the name uncultured bacterium. RNAcentral describes it as "partial 16S ribosomal RNA". It matches the Rfam family "Bacterial small subunit ribosomal RNA", at positions 524 to 776 of the family's 1533-position model. The record is from RNAcentral.